This 266-nucleotide long non-coding RNA is filed under the name Hordeum vulgare. RNAcentral's name for it is "long non-coding RNA (HVUL_LNC006251)". The record is from RNAcentral. Lineage: Eukaryota; Viridiplantae; Streptophyta; Magnoliopsida; Poales; Poaceae.
AGCUUCGACAAGGACGUGCCAGACGUCGUGCCGCCGAUGCUGGGCCUGCACAAUUACCAGGACGGCGCGUUCGCCGAAGACCUAGCCAAUUACCACGAACGCAGCCACGCCGAUGACUGGUACGGUUUCUGCACACUGCUUUCGCGCACAGGGAGAAGGCCCUAAGCUGCUCGCCCACUGAACUUGUCUACAUGCGUUAAGAUUUAGUUAGGGCGACAUGUUUUCCGCACGGGCGGAUGAUGAAUCUUAAUAAAUGGAAUCGUGAG